GUUUUUAGGAGAUUUUUCAGGCUAAUCAACUAUAUUUCCAGAAACGGAAGUCAAUUGAUUCUUUUCAGUAGACUCACCUUCUCUGCUGUAAAAUUCUCAGACUGAACUGGAUGAUCCCUCAGAUCUUUUUAAAAUCCAGAUAUUAUUUUCAACGAAAAUUUAGUAACUUAAAAUUAGUUAUUUUGAACUAACAAGCUCAAUUAGACUUCAAUUAUUCUCUUUAGCCAGAUUGACAGGUAGUGUUAAUGUUUAAAUAUGCAGGGAGUUAAUUUCUUUUAGAAUUGUUGAAAGCACGUGGUUAGCCUACGCUUGCUGAAACAGAAUAUUCUUUACAUAUCUGUAACACUAUUUUCAUUUCUCUAUCAAAUAUCACACCCACGUUUUUCUUUAGUUAUGUAGCCCUUUCCUCAUGAUAUCCUUAUAAUUGCUUUGGGUUUUUGUUUAACAUGUUGUGCUACUUCCUUUCAUUAUGUUUACUUUUGUGUUUGAUUAAUUUUGUCCCUUGAAACAUCACAUGAUCUUCUGCCUGCCAGCUUGGUGGUAACAGUAGUUGUUGUUAUUAUUGCUUUCCUCUAUUUGUUUUGUUAAGGGGGCAAGGAGAGCCCAGGGGCUCUUCCCUGAUAAAACCCUAUUUUGAGUCCAUAAUAGCAUCUACCUUGUUUUUUCCUGAGACAACACACACAGGGUCGUGGUAUCAGAAACAUCCUUGAUGUUAAAAAUGUCUAUUAGCGAAAAUCUCUUCCACAACCAUAAUAUAUUGACUUGGAAAAUUGUUAUAACAUUUCGCUCCCUCAGGCUUCAUUUGGGAUGUGAAAUUUGUAAACAUUACUGUUGUCUCAGAUGUGAAUGUUAGCAAACUAAAUGUCUUUGAAGAAUCUGACAGAUUCACCAAAGCCGAAUUUUAUUUCUAUGGCAAAACAAGUAUCGUCUGUUUGGAUUUAUUAUAUGUAAUUAGGAGCUUACUGGAGUCUAAUGAAGGCUAUCUGUCUAUCACCACUGUUGCAAAACUGUAUCUUUGGCGAUCGAUAUUUUGCGUGUAGAAUAGAAUUUAAUUUUGUGUGUUAGAGAUAUUUUGGUAUUCAGGCAUUGUCAGGCCUCUGGUUUAAGGAAGUUUGAUGGGGUUACUGUGGACUUCAUUGUUCGAAUGAAAAGUUCAGAAUAGAGACUAUAAUGGAAUUUGGAAUCUAUUCUCUGCGUUUGAACACAGUCCAGCCAUUGUAUUAAUACCAAGGCGGAUAGAACAGAGCCGGCCCUACGUGCAAUUUUUCUUACUUUGAAGCAGGCUCCACGAAGAAUUUUUAUGUUUUGUUUUUGAAAAGUAGGUAGAUUAUAUUCUUGGUUCAUCUUUGUUUUGCAGAGGUAAAAUUAGAGUCCUGAGCCUCCUGCUGGCAGAACAAGCUCUCAAUUUCUCACUGUCGAAAUUCAAUCUGAUUUCUAUCUUUUUCACUAAAAAGCUGUCAACAGCAAAUAAGCAUUCCCCAUCAAAGAGCCACAUUCAUUUCUGAGGGAUACAAAUUCCUCUCAUGGGAGAGAAUUCAAGUAAUUUAAAUCGUUUCUGACUUUUAAUUUCUUUCCUAGGAAAUGGGAAAUGAUAUUAGCAUGGACUCUAAGUGCAGUCCAAAAUGAGAGAAAGAAAGACGUGCAGGGAUGCUCUUCAAUGUGACGUCCCCAGGACCUUUAAGCCUCAGAGUACAGCAUGUUUACAAUGCAUAGAACAGUGUUUCCAUCUGCCUUCUUGUUUGCAACUAGCGAUCUAAUCAGAGCUGUAGCUUCAUGCUCUUAAGAUGCAUCAAUACGAAGGCAUUUUUAGAAGCAGACUUGCCAUAGGAGUGUGUAUUGUCACCCUAAGAGAAGGAAAUGCCUCUGAAAUAAAAAAAUGUUUUUCUUUCUUAGAAUUUAGUUUGGGAAAUGGCCCUUUCUUUGGAAAAAAGGUGAAAGUCUAGGUAUUGUCUUAUCUCUUUAUUUUUUCCCUUUUUGGUUUACUUUACUUACUUAUGGUAAAGGUUUAAUGGAGUGCAUUGUUUUGUAGCUGCAUAUUUAUGAGAAGCAAAUGCAUUACUUUGUUUGCAGAACAUCUUUAAAUAGACUUGUAAAAAGGUGAGUUCUUGGUUUUAAACUGUAAAUUUCAUUAUCUUUCAUUCUCUCCUGUCAGUUCAUGCAAACAUUCGCAAUUUGAGAAUCUUCUGAUUGGGAUAAGAAGUGGUAGGCAUGAUUUGCACGUACAAAUAAGUAAGCUACCUGUUACAGUCAAAAGAAAAACUCCCCUUCUGUGCAAAUGUAUUUGACAGUAUUUAGAAAAGAAGCAGCAUUUAAGAAGUAGAUUUGGCGUGAGCUAGAAAUCUACCACAAAGGUUAUCAGAUGACUUGUAGGACUUUGAAAGUCCUCCUUCUUUUCUUAGGAGUAUUCUGAUUAGUCACGUUCCCCAUAAAAUGAAGAUAACUGGAAUUGACUCAGAAUUGCAAGUGGUAUCUCGUUGGCACAGAAUAAAAUGCAAUCCAACUAUAUUUUUUGAUCCAGCAUAUAUAUGUCUGUGUGUAUCUAUCUCCCCAUCUAGCUAUCUAAAUCCUGGAUUCAGAAUUCUCCCUCCACACUUCAAUAUAUUGCUGUUGCAUCUUACUGUUCAAAUUCAACAAUUAGCCUGCCACCAAAGUGCUCUGGGUGAUGCAGUUUGCAAGGGUCCACUUUCCAGAGCCCAGAAUAGGGCAGAAAAGGGAAAAGAACAGAACUAGGGGUACAAAUGAAUAAAAAGGGGUGAAGUUUUGCCAUCCUUCUUGCCCCAUCUCCAGCCCAUCUGCCUGCUUUCUCUGUAUCCUGCCCCUGACCUACCGGCCUUCUCAGCAGCUGCUCUUUUCCCCUCCCAGCUUUCGCACAUGCUGCUCCUUCUUUCUGAGAUUCCUUCUUCCAGUCCGUUUUCAUGUGCAUAGCUUCUUCUCCUUGGUGGCCCUACUGAAACACCAUUUCUCAGGGAGGCUUUGGGAGACCUCAACAUUUCAGAGUCCUAAUUGAUAAAGGAUGCUGAACCAUCGCUCGAAAUGCAGUGAAUUGAGGACAAACUGAAUUUACCAGUCUUCUCAAAAUGCCAGUGUCAGGAGAGUGGGGACUUUGUUUUGUUCACUGCUGUGGCCCCAGCGAGCAGACUAAUAUCUGGCAUAUAACAGACGCUCGAUACACAUUUGUGGAAAGAAGGGAGAAUUGGACAGUCUCCUUUCUCCUGGAGACACACAGGUAUUUCUUUCUCAACCUCUCUGCCUGAGAAGCAUGAUAUGAGGGUAGGAGAAUAGAUUUUAGAGCUAACAAAGCUGCUUGGUUUCAGAUCUGUCCUUUAUUGGGUGUGCCACCUCAUCUGACUUGACUGAUUUUGCACUCUUCAUGUUCUUCUGUAAAAUAAACUACCAAUAUUUACUUCAUUGUGUUGUAAGAAUUAAGUAAUAUGAAAUGCGUGGAAAUUCAGGGUAAGAAACAUUAAAUAAACGAUUUAUCAUUAUUAUUCUUUUUACCACAUGAGGUUAGUUAUGACCAAACUGUAUUUGUAGCUUCUGCAUCAGGAGAAAGUGAUGGAUGUUUCCCAAUACUGAGAGAGUCUUUGGGAUGGAAGAAUGAACUGUUCAGGUUAGUCCUAUGGGAAAGUGCAGAUUUGAGAAAUAGAAAUUUAUGCCAAGACCAGGGCCUUUCUCCACCUAAAUUUUAUUAGACAUGGGUUAAGUUGGCUCUGAUUAAAGGGAACAAUCAUUUUGAUCAGUUUGGCUCAAAUAACUCUUCAUUUCAGGUGAAAAAAAAGCCAAAUGGUUUCUAAGAGAAGAAGCACAGUAGACUAGAUAGAGCCCGAAGAAUUAGGAACUCUAGCCUCAACUCCCUAAAUGCCUUGUGGAAUUAAUUUUCUCAUCUGUAAAAUGGGUAUGAAAAUCCCUGCCUUCUCUCUUACUUAGGGCUGCUGGGAGGGCUGUGUCAGAGAAUGGACUGAAAUGUCCUAUAUUAACCUUUGGAACCCUGUACCUUUCUUAGAGGCUACCAUUUUUUUUUUUUGGGGAAUUUAGUCUGGUCAAUUAGUGACUGAGAAUGGCCAAUCCUGGUAAAGACUAAGGCAUGAUGGCAGGCGAGAAUGUGAGAGCGUGGUAAACACAUGACACACCGAUUUUUUGCAGUAUCGCCUUUUAGACCAUGAAUGGUGCUUCCUGCUGCAGAUCUGAGAAAGCAUGGGAACAAACACCCCCAAUCCAAGAGAAAGAGGGAUGCCUUACUCUCUUGCAGGAAAAAUGCCUGAAGCUUCCGGGCUGGAAGCAGGAGAGUUAAACACUGUUGCUCAUGGAGAAAUCAAUACCAGCCUCAGUUCUGUUCUGAAGAAUGAGACAGCUCUGUUCCAGUUGGGGUGGGAUGUGUGAAGGAUGUGAUAGCCUGUUCGGGGCCUAGCUUGGCCAGCAAUUGGUAAGGAAGCAACUUGAUAACCCCAGAUGACUGUGACAGUGAAACCCACCGGGGACUUGAAAAUGAGAAUGUCAGUACAUUGCUUUUAUUUAUCUUUUUCUUAAAGACAGAAGGGGAAAAGUUUUAAGGCAAAUAUUGUCUUGAAAUGAUGGAAUGUUUUCAAAAUCUUUGCUGUUAAACUAGCCCAAGAUCUGGGCCUGGCGUACAUCGGAUAGCUUCAAGCAGGUUUUGACUAUGGGAUCAUAUGUUGAUCAGAGAAGCCCAGUAGAUGAUACAGAUAAAAGUGGACCUCUUCUAGCUGAAGGGGAAUAGAGGCCACUGGGAUGGCCGCUGACUAGGUUAUUUGCCCAGUGAUUGUCAUCUUUAGGAUGACAAUCUUCGUGUUCUCUUAGCUCUGGCCACUCUGCUCAGGUUGCCCAGCCCAGUCAGGUCACUCAAAUGCUGCCCCUUUCUGCUGGGCCUCUCAAAGUCAUCAGGGACGACCUGGAUGCUUGGGACUAGGCUUAUCUCAUCUCUUAUCUCUGAAGUGUAUAGCGUAGUGCUGGCACCUAAGGAGGUCAGUGUGCCCUUGCUAAAUUUACCUGGAUUUUCCAUGCGGUCCACCUUUCUGUUACCACCUAGACCUGAGUUCUUCCGCGUUCUUCUGUCCAUCUUUGGAAUCUGUUCUCUGAUUUCUUGGCUCCUUCAGGUCUGGGCUAUUCUACUGAUAUUGGGAAUUUUAUUAAAAUAUUAAGGGGUAAUAUUUGGAUGGAGGCUUUGAAUUCAGUGGAGAUAGAUGGGGGCCUUGAAUGCCAAGAGGAACAUGACUAGGUGUUAAACAAGACGACUCUGCACAACUUAUUUAUGCAUGUCUACAUCCACUCAGCGAACACUUAUUGAGCAUCUAACGUGUGUCUGACACUGUUCCAGAUGAUGGAAAUAACAGCAGAGAAAAACAAAUAGAGUCCCUGCGCUUAAGGAGCUUACCUUCCAGUGGAGGGAAACAGAUAUAAAUGGCAUGAAAAAAUGAACAAGAAAUAAUAGAUACCACAAUGAUAACUGUGAUAUAACAGGGUGGCUGGUGCUCUGGGUGUGUGGUCAGGAAAACUUCCCUAGAAGGGAACUGAGUGAAGAGGGAGCUAGUCCCACAGUGAGCAGAGGAAGAGCAUUUCAGCAAGAGGAGACAAUUAGCGCCAAGGCCCUCCGAUGCUUCCAAAAGCAGGGUGGGAGCACGACAAUAGAUGAGUUCAGAGAGAUCAGAAGGGCCCACGUCUGAUAGGGCUCUGUAAGCCAGGGCAAGUGAUGCGAUGUUAUUCUUUUUGUAAUUAAAUUUUUUUUCUUUAAAUUUAAGAACUUUAUUAACAGGUACUUGCAGUUUGUUGACUUUUUUGGAAAAAUCAAGUUGUAAACUUUUAUUACAAAUUAAAAAUGAGGUUCUUAAAAAUCUCAGCUUGACCGGAUAUGAAACAAUUAAAAAAAGCUGUAAGGGUGUAUUUGGAAAAAGCAGGCUUAAAAAAAGAUCAAACACGUUUGUCAUUACUAAAAAGAUAUCUUUAGGUAAAAAUAAUAAAAACCCCACGCUGCAUAGAUAAUGCAGAAAGUUCUAGUUGCCUGGUCAACGGGCAAAAAGCAAGCACUUAUGGUCUUCAGCUCCAAUCUUUUGUUCGUUUCUUAUUGCUGAAAUUUCAUGUUCAUUUCUUCUUCUUGGAUGACUAAACCGGAUGGUGGUAGAGAUGGUAAACCAGCAUUUACUCAGCCUUGCCCUGCUCAGCCUUGGGAGUGGAUGAUUCUUAGCUGCUGGAUCGGCUGCUUUGGUCUCCUAUGGUUUAGGCUUGUCUGAGCACCUGCGUUGGUAGUUGAAGUUGCUGUGGUACCGCCUUGGGUCUCCUGUCCUCGAUUUUCCUCGUCUUCCUCAUUGUGGUCCUCUCUUGGCUGUCUUUGGUGAGGAGGGCCCCUGCAGAAUCCUGGUCUCUAACCCCGAUGCAUAUUCUGUCCCACUGGUCUACCCUGUUCUCCCACACCCUGGUUGUCAGUGCCCUGAGUCACUUCUUCCCGCACAGGAGGGACGGAACACUGUGGUGACACCCUCAGAGUUUCUGCAGGUAGUUAAGAUGGGACCUGGCCUUUGGGAGCAUUCUCUUAUCCCUCAUUCUUACCCACUUCACUCACUAUUCUGGUAAUCCUGCUGGCAAUUGCGUGGAGGACCCCUGCGAGGUGGGUAGAGGUGCCUCCAUCAUGGUUAGUCUGCUGCAUCGUGACUGCCUUGUGCUGGAACUCCACCUGGGCCUGUAGCAUUUGCUGCCUCUGAGUCCUUUGCUCCUUCAACAACAUCAACCUCCACAGUCUCUCCAUCUCCUACACUGUGGAGGCACUUCCUGGGUUGUUCUUGUUUGUGGCAGUCUGGUGUACAAAUACAUGUAGCUUGAUGUCAUUCCUGUUCAUGAAAUCACAUCUAUUUCUUACAUUGAACCAAUUAACUUUUCCCAAAGCUUCAUUUCACUGACAUUCUUGUCCCCACAGGCAGGUGCCACUCACUUGAGCGUAUCUGCUCGCUGAGCGUCUGCCUGUGGUGCAUGGCUUUGUGUCACAGAGCUGAGGGUGGGCAGGGGUGGCAUGGGACCGCUGGGUCUCGGCCUCCCUGCUUGUGGUUGUGGUGAUGACGACUGAUCAUGAUGGUGACAGAUGAUGACGGUGACUCCUAGGGUGUGAUGGUAACUAGGCCAGUGGUGGCUGUGGGGCUGCUCGGAGCUCCCUGGGGUCAGCUUUCUGCUCCCGCUAUCGAUCUGCAAUGUUAUUCUUAAUGUGAUGAGAAGACGUUGGGUGAUUUUUAAAAAAUCAAACCUUCUAUUUUGAGAUAAUUGUAAAUUUACAUGCAGUUUAAGAAAUAAUGUGAGAGAUCCUGUGUUACGCUAUGCUCAGUUUCCCGCAGUGCUCACAUCUUGAAACAUUGUAAUGCAAUGUCACAACCAGCAUGUUGACAUUGAUGUAAUCCACUGGUCUUCUUCAGAUUUCCCGUUUUACUUUACGUACUCAUUUGUGUGUGCACGUGCAUGUGCAUGUGUGUGUAUUUAGUUCCGUGCAACUUUAUCACUUGUGUAGAGUCGUGUAUCCAUCACCACAGUCAAGAUACAGAACAGCUCCAUCACCAUGAGGGGGCUUCCUGUUGUCUUUUCAUGGUCACAUCCAGGUCCCUCCCACCCCCAUUCUCAGCCCUUACCCCUGGCAAGCACUAAUCUGGUCUCCAUUGCUAUAAUUUUGUCAUUUCAAAAAUAUUGUAUAUAUGAAAUUUGCAGUAUGUAACCUUUUGCGAUUGGCUUUUUUUCAACAUCAAUAUAUAUCAGUAUGCAUGUAUCAAUAGUUUGUUUCGUCUCAUUGCUGAGUAAUAUUAUAUGGUUUUACUUGUGAAUGUAAGUUUUCUUUCUUUCUUUUUUUUUUUUGGAGGAAGAUUAGCCUGAGCUAACUACUACCAAUCCUCCUCUUUUUGCUGAGGAAGACUGGCCCUGAGCUAACAUCCGUGCCCAUCUUCCUUACUUUAUAUGUGGGAUGCCUACCACAGCGUGGCAUGCUAAGCGGUGCCAUGUCUGCGCCCAGGAUCCGAACUGGCGAACCGCGGGCCGCUGAGAAGCAGAACGUGCGAAUUUAACCACUGCGCCACUGGGCUGGCCCCGUGAAUAUGUGAAAUAGAGAAACAGAGGAAGAGAGAAGAGGCAGAAGGCACGGUUGCUAGGAAGAUGAAGAUGAUAUCGCUCUCCAAAGAGGGGAGGGCCUCAGCAGUUCUUGUAUGUGGACUAUGUGUGCGGUACCAUGAAGAUAUCUUUAGACAUUAUCUCAUUGAACUGCCUCAGUGUUCCUCCGCUGUAAGUAACUGCUCAGUUACUUAAUAUAGGAAGAUCCUGAGGGUCAGCAAAAUUAGUGCACAUUGCAUAAGGUUGCAGAUAGAGUAGGUGGCAGAACUUGACUUGAACCCAAAUCUUCCUGACUCCAAGCCCAUGAUCUUUUCUCUGAACCAGGUUGCAAAACGGGUUGUAAACAUGAGAGAUCUUACUACUGCCCUCUGUUCUUGGGCUUUUGGAGACACAUCCUUCAAAGGACACAUCCUCCAAGGAAAGCUGACCUUUUCUUAGCAGACCUGAAAGGACUACACUGUGGCCCACGGGAAGUUCUUUACACUUCUCAAAAUUCAUAACGAGAACAAGAAGUUUGCCUGGAGUCCAUUUAGUGAUUUAUUUCAGGAUGUCUGGCAUGGGCAGCUCAUGGGACGCAUAUCAAGCAGGAAGUGAGGCCCUUGGACUGAAUAAACAGCUGAAGACAGAAGUGGUGGCUGAGCUUCAGACAGGGCAGAGGUGACCUGGCAUCAAACCAGCCGGCACAACUCCUUUCCUUCCUGUUCAUUUGGAUGAUUAUUAAAC
Molecule: long non-coding RNA, 8811 nt
Organism: Equus caballus (horse)
Lineage: Eukaryota; Metazoa; Chordata; Mammalia; Perissodactyla; Equidae
Source: Ensembl